Molecule: long non-coding RNA, 253 nt
Filed under: Homo sapiens (human)
Lineage: Eukaryota; Metazoa; Chordata; Mammalia; Primates; Hominidae
Description: HSALNT0092268
Source: RNAcentral
CCUGUCUCAAAACACCCACACAUGCAAACCCAGAUAUUCUCUGAAGAUAUAUUCUGAUCAGAAAUAAGAAUAAUUUGGAAAUCAUUCAGUCACAGAGUUUCUGUCAUUUUUUUCUUCUCUCAUUUUAGGAAACCAAAUAUGAACAGUGAAAGAGAGAGUCCUAUUCUUAUAGGGUCACUGAAAUUAGGAGAAUGAGACUGAUAUCUUAGUUCUGUGUAACAAGGAAUAAUCAAUGAGUGGUUUAUUAUGGGGG